This 287-nucleotide long non-coding RNA is filed under the name Physcomitrium patens. RNAcentral describes it as "long non-coding RNA (PPAT_LNC014479)". Lineage: Eukaryota; Viridiplantae; Streptophyta; Bryopsida; Funariales; Funariaceae. The record is from RNAcentral.
GGACCAUAUAUAAUAGUAGCAAUGCAUGACAAUGCUACCUAUUUGCUUUGUAGAUUGGAUGGUAUGAUGUUGAAGAUACUUGUGGGUGAGAAGUGAAUUAAGGCAUUCAAAAGAAGAGAUGGCAUAUUUAUUGCAAUCAAUCCUUUAGAUUUUGAAACAUUAGAUUUGGACUAAAUAGAAGAUGCACAAAAAGAUGGAGAUGAUGAAGAAGACAAGCAUGGUUAAAUUGGCACAUAUUAGAGGAUGUGUAGGUUUGGGAGGAGGGGAUAGAUGCUAUAUUAUAAUUA